RNAcentral lists this unclassified non-coding RNA (313 nucleotides) under Hevea brasiliensis (rubber tree). Lineage: Eukaryota; Viridiplantae; Streptophyta; Magnoliopsida; Malpighiales; Euphorbiaceae. The record is from RNAcentral.
GGUAAAUUUGCAACCAUGACACGGUGUAAAUUUUCUUUAUUUUCUGCCACACAAUGUUCCUACAUGAGGUAAUAAGCACACAGACAAUACAUAAAUUGUCAGCUUAUUUCUCAUCUGUAACAAAUAAAUAUCCAAGAUCAAUUACACCUUUCAAAAACCCACUAAGCUCAAGGUUUUAAAAUCAUAAAGAAAAGCAAAAACCCGAAACAAAUAUAUAGUGAAACUCCUGAUAAUGCAAAUUUACCACUCAGAAUACUAAAAUAAGAGAUGAAGCAAAGAAUGCUCCAAUAGAACCAGUGAAACUUAUAAAUGU